GCUUAGCCCUAAACAUAAAUAAUUCACUUAACAAAAUUAUCCGCCAGAGAACUACUAGCAACAGCUUAAAACUCAAAGGACUUGGCGGUGCUUCACACCCCACUAGAGGAGCCUGUUCUAUAAUCGAUAAACCCCGAUAAACCUCACCACCCCUUGCUAAUUCAGUCUAUAUACCGCCAUCCUCAGCAAACCCUUAAAAGGAAAGAAAGUAAGCACAAUCAUCUACACAUAAAAAAGUUAGGUCAAGGUGUAACCCAUGAGGUGGGAAGAAAUGGGCUACAUUUUCUAAAUAAGAAUAUAUUUACACGAAAGUUCUUAUACGAAAUUAAUAACUAAAGGUGGAUUUAGUAGUAAACUAAGAAUAGAGAGCUUAAUUGAACUGGGCCAUGAAGCAC
Molecule: ribosomal RNA, 395 nt
Filed under: Callorhinus ursinus (northern fur seal)
Lineage: Eukaryota; Metazoa; Chordata; Mammalia; Carnivora; Otariidae
Description: partial 12S ribosomal RNA
Rfam family: Bacterial small subunit ribosomal RNA
Source: RNAcentral